Molecule: transfer RNA, 68 nt
Filed under: Sooglossus sechellensis (Seychelles frog)
Lineage: Eukaryota; Metazoa; Chordata; Amphibia; Anura; Sooglossidae
Description: tRNA-His
Rfam family: tRNA
About the family: Transfer RNA (tRNA) molecules are approximately 80 nucleotides in length. Their secondary structure includes four short double-helical elements and three loops (D, anti-codon, and T loops). Further hydrogen bonds mediate the characteristic L-shaped molecular structure. tRNAs have two regions of fundamental functional importance: the anti-codon, which is responsible for specific mRNA codon recognition, and the 3' end, to which the tRNAs corresponding amino acid is attached (by aminoacyl-tRNA synthetases). tRNAs cope with the degeneracy of the genetic code in two manners: having more than one tRNA (with a specific anti-codon) for a particular amino acid; and 'wobble' base-pairing, i.e. permitting non-standard base-pairing at the 3rd anti-codon position.
Source: RNAcentral
GUGGAUAUAGUUUAACAAAAACCUUAGAUUGUGACUCUAAAAAUAGGAAAUGCCCUCCCUUAUUCACC